GACGAACGCUGGCGGCGUGCUUAACACAUGCAAGUCGAACGGAAAGGCCCUGCUUGCAGGGUACUCGAGUGGCGAACGGGUGAGUAACACGUGGGUGAUCUGCCCUGCACUUCGGGAUACGCCUGGGAAACUGGGUCUAAUACCGGAUAGGAGCCAUUCUUAGUGUGAUGGUUGGAAAGUUUUUUCGGUGUAGGAUGAGCUCGCGGCCUAUCAGCUUGUUGGUGGGGUAAUGGCCUACCAAGGCGGCGACGGGUAGCCGGCCUGAGAGGGUGGACGGCCACAUUAGGAAUGAGAAACGGCCCAGACUCCUACGGGAGGCAGCAGUGGGGAAUAUUGCACAACGGGCGCAAGCCUGAUGCAGCGACGCCGCGUGGGGGAUGACGGCCUUCGGGUUGUAAACUCCUUUCGCUAGGGACGAAGCUUUUUGUGACGGUACCUAGAUAAGAAGCACCGGCUAACUACGUG
This 465-nucleotide ribosomal RNA is filed under the name uncultured bacterium. RNAcentral's name for it is "partial 16S ribosomal RNA". It matches the Rfam family "Bacterial small subunit ribosomal RNA", at positions 28 to 507 of the family's 1533-position model. The record is from RNAcentral.